RNAcentral lists this ribosomal RNA (456 nucleotides) under Passalora haldinae. Its description in RNAcentral is "eukaryotic LSU rRNA". The stretch from base 112 to 265 matches the Rfam family "5.8S ribosomal RNA". The record is from RNAcentral. Lineage: Eukaryota; Fungi; Ascomycota; Dothideomycetes; Mycosphaerellales; Mycosphaerellaceae.
UCUGUGAACCAACACUGUUGCUUCGGGGGCUCCCCUGCCCUUUGGGCUCGGGGCCCCCGGAGGAAAUCAAAAUCUGCAUCUCUGCGUCGGAGUAUCAAUCAAAUUGAACAAAACUUUCAACAACGGAUCUCUUGGUUCUGGCAUCGAUGAAGAACGCAGCGAAAUGCGAUAAGUAAUGUGAAUUGCAGAAUUCAGUGAAUCAUCGAAUCUUUGAACGCACAUUGCGCCCCGUGGUAUUCCGCGGGGCAUGCCUGUUCGAGCGUCAUUUCACCACUCAAGCCUCGCUUGGUAUUGGGCGUCGCGGCUCCGCGCGCCUCAAAGUCUCCGGCUGAGCUGUCCGUCUCCCAGCGUUGUGACACACGAUCGCUCCGAGUUCGAACAGUCGCGGCCGUUAAACUUAUCUUAAAGGUUGACCUCGGAUCAGGUAGGGAUACCCGCUGAACUUAAGCAUAUCAU